UAUGUCCCUGUCUCUGGUGUCAUUCCUUCAGUCUGCACCUCAAUGCGAGCAACACCAAAAUCAGCUAUCUUAAUAGAUUUAUCACCAAAAAUCAAAAGAUUGUCAGACUUUAAAUCCCUAUGAAUCAGACCAAGCCCAUGAACAUAUGCCAUUCCUCUUGCAACAUCCAAGGCCUGCUUGACUGCCAAUUUCAGAGGCACUGCCCUGUUCUGACGCUUCAUUAAAAACUGGCGCACUGAACCUCCUUUCGCAUAUUCUGUAACUAUGCACCACACCAAUGGUUUCCGACAGGCACCAACAAAUCGAACAAUGUUGGGAUGCUUCAAUGUGGCCAGCAUCAUAACUUCUUGCUGAAAUUGUUGCUCCAUCAACUUCGCCAUUUCUUGGUCAUUUUCUGGCCUCUCCAAGAUUUUGAUUGCAACAUCCUCACCAUUGUAAGUUCCUCUAUAGAGUUUCCCAAAAGCUCCUUGAGCAAAAGCCGCCCCCAUAUUAAGCUUCCUCAAAUCAAUGGU
Molecule: unclassified non-coding RNA, 512 nt
Filed under: Hevea brasiliensis (rubber tree)
Lineage: Eukaryota; Viridiplantae; Streptophyta; Magnoliopsida; Malpighiales; Euphorbiaceae
Source: RNAcentral